RNAcentral lists this non-coding RNA (121 nucleotides) under Streptococcus vestibularis F0396. RNAcentral describes it as "DUF3800-I RNA". It matches the Rfam family "DUF3800-I RNA". From Rfam's summary of the family: Actinobacteria, Firmicutes, Fusobacteria, Proteobacteria (1 example), Tenericutes (2 examples). RNAcentral also lists the same sequence under 1 other name. Lineage: Bacteria; Bacillati; Bacillota; Bacilli; Lactobacillales; Streptococcaceae. The record is from Rfam by way of RNAcentral.
UACAAUUACAGGUAUAUGUACACUGUUCAAACAUCUGAACUGUGAUUAAAGCAAUUAAGCGUAUGUUAAGUACGUCGCACUCAGAUGGGAAAGCACCGUGAGGUGCUUUUUUUGUUAAUGA